Molecule: ribosomal RNA, 1458 nt
Filed under: Triticum aestivum (bread wheat)
Lineage: Eukaryota; Viridiplantae; Streptophyta; Magnoliopsida; Poales; Poaceae
Description: partial small subunit ribosomal RNA
Source: RNAcentral
AUGGGCACAGUCCACAUCAGUGCUCGCUGUCACGCACAACAAAUCUACGCAUCAAAUGUGUGCAUACGGAGUAAGUACCACUGUACACCCACACAGCUCCGACGCAGUAUGCCUGCAGACAAGGAAAUCAUUGUGCAGCGACCCGGAUCUACCACUCAGGACCGUAUUCAUUGUACCAGCCCCACCGUAGUAACCUGGGGUCCAGGGCUGCUCGCGGGGCAGGUCGCGAACCGGGAAAAGCAACGCGCAAUGAAGCGGAGCGUACUACAUAGUACAGUACCAUUAAAACCAUUCAGCUGCGCAUCAAGGGCGAGCCCUCGCGAUAGCCACGUCGGCAAGCUACGAGACAAGCGACUGUGCAGCGCUGGGAGAAAAAGAAAAGGAAACCUAGCCCCGCACGCUUCUUCGCCACACUGCCAAUCCCCUCUUCGCUCGUCUCCUUCUCUCCCUGGUCCUGCGCCGCCGGCUCAGCCACCUCCUCUCCCGCUUCCCUCCUCCUAUCUCAGUCCUCGUCCAGAUCGGCGUCCAGCGCAGGAAGAUCGGGGUGGUCGUGGCGGCGGCAUCUUCAGCGGCGUCGCCGGACGAGCUCCACGCGCCGGGGAGAUAUCUCCAAGGUCCCGCGCCACCACGUCCCCUAGCCGACGUUGGCCUCACCACAAAAGACGUCUAGCCCGCCCGUGCCGCCGGUCAAUUUGUCUUUGGAGGUCUCGGAGCCUCCGGAGUCGCCGUCGCUGUACGGAGACGAGUCGGCGGGGGGAUGAUGGUGUUGGGGUCAGGAGGGGAAAGGCGUCGCCGAUGAUGAUGUGGAGGAGGACGAGGUCGACGCCCCUCUGCCCUGCCGUGAAUCGGUGGCGACUACAGCGUGGGCGUGGUGAAGCGGCGGGCGGCGUGCGCGUCAGUGCCCCCGCGCCCCGGCCGGUGCGGACUGUGACUGCGCGUAGGGUACCAGCAGCAACUUGCUCAAGCCGCCGGGCGGACUGCCUGCCUGUAUUACAUUACACUGAUGUGUUGUCAAAAAACCAGAUUGUGUCAAGUGCUAUAAUUGAUAAAUAUAUCGGAGAAACUGCGCUUUUAAUCAGAGAAAUGUUCGGCUAUGCACGCGAUCACCAACCAUGCAUUAUCUUCAUGGAUGAAAUCGAUGCAAUUGGUGAGAGAAGAUUUAGUGAGGGAACUAGUGAUGACCGUGAGAUCCAACGGACACUGAUGGGGCUUCUUAUUCGGUUAGAUGGAUUUCAUGAUCUUGGCAAGAGGAAUGGAUUCAAUCGAACUUUGAGUGCCUCCACGUUUGAAGAUGAUCUCACAGAAAAAAAGCUGUUGAAGGGGCGCCUCUCACCUGGCACCGCCCAGCUUCCUCUUAAGCGGCGCCACCGGGUGGCGCCCCAACCACUAGUUCUCAUUCUGUCCCGCUCCAUCGGGCGACUCCCGGAAUCUCGCGUAAAACUAACUAGGAGUACGUGA